Long non-coding RNA from Sycon ciliatum, 634 nucleotides. RefSeq lists it as uncharacterized. NCBI's taxonomy places the organism in Eukaryota, Metazoa, Porifera, Calcarea, Leucosolenida, Sycettidae. The transcript has 6 exons. The record is from RefSeq and is a predicted model, not a curated record.
GUCUUUUCACUUGGGAAUCAUUCCUGGCUCGUUCUCCUUCCUCGUGCGGUUGGUCUUUCUUGCCGUGGACGUUCUUUCGCUUCUUUGGUGUCUCGACUCGCCAUGGAAGCUCUUCCUGUUUAUUGUCCUUGUGACUGGCGCCAUCCUUCCUAAUCAUGGACCCAUCUCGGACUUUUGCUCUCUAACGACAACAAUGUUUCGACUCUCUGGGCUUGGAUCGGCUCGAGUGGCCUACACUUUGCUUCUAGAAGCCAAUCGAAUCCAAUGAUCAUGUGAACUUCUUCGCAAGUACAGCACUGACUUGCUGCUGAGCUUGGGUUGGCUCGAAUGACCUGCUUCUAGAAGCCGAUCGUCUACAAUGAUCACCCCAGUGUAACCCUCUUCGCGAUUACAGCAUUAUUUCGCAGACAUUAUUCAUCUCGCCUUGAGAGGCGAUCGCCUUCAGCGUGACCACACCUGAACAACGGAACUACUCUGAUGUGGUGCUGCAUCUGAGAGGGGUUCAACGUCGGGAUCGUUCUUGUGCACCCAUACAUGAAGGCCUCAUCGGUCCGGCUGAGCAAAUCCUCCGUCCUACCAUCAUACACAUUGAUCUUUGCUAUUCUGUUUUGCAAUGGAGUUUUAAAACUUACAA